CUCGUGCCACGGUGUGGCCCACAUGUCGGACCUUUGCCGGCGGCCAGGGAAAAAGCCGCCGGCAAAGGGCGGGCACGUGGCACGAUCUGGUGCGUGCCCGCGCUCAGCCUUUGCCCGCGGCUAGGACUGUGGCCGCCGGCAAAGGGUUUUUUUUUGUUUUUUUUUAUCGCAGCAAUUUGAAAAUUUUCAUAGCACAUAUACACAGAUAUAUAUUCAUCCACGUCACAGCAAUACAUCCACACAAAAUCAUAGACGCAUCCACAUAAGCAUUCACAUCACAAGCAUAUAAACAUCACAUAUCUCACAACAAAAGUAUUACAAGUGUUCAUCACAUGGUAGCAACAUAUUACAAGGUAGUGUUCAUACACAACAAGAUGGUGACUCGGGCACCUUCAACAUCCACCACCCAUUGCACCAGUAGAAACCUAUAAAAUGGAGUUGGAAUAAGCAUAAUUAGAUAUAAAUAAAGUCAAUGAAGUGACAAUUGUAGUAUUUGAAGCGAAAUUUAGCCAUUUGGCUCAAAAAAGUUGCAAUGGAAUCAUUUUUUAGCAAAUAUGGCUCAUUUGGCUCAAAAAAUGACCCCUAAAUGCUCUAAAAUGGCACGAUGG
RNAcentral lists this long non-coding RNA (608 nucleotides) under Brachypodium distachyon (stiff brome). RNAcentral's name for it is "long non-coding RNA (BDIS_LNC000913)". The record is from RNAcentral. Lineage: Eukaryota; Viridiplantae; Streptophyta; Magnoliopsida; Poales; Poaceae.